RNAcentral lists this ribosomal RNA (492 nucleotides) under uncultured bacterium. Its description in RNAcentral is "partial 16S ribosomal RNA". It matches the Rfam family "Bacterial small subunit ribosomal RNA", at positions 29 to 507 of the family's 1533-position model. The record is from RNAcentral.
AGUGAACGCUGGCGGUAGGCCUAACACAUGCAAGUCGAACGGCAGCACAGUAAGAGUUUGCUCUUACGGGUGGCGAGUGGCGGACGGGUGAGGAAUACAUCGGCAUCUACUUUUUCGUGGGGGAUAACGUAGGGAAACUUACGCUAAUACCGCAUACGACCUACGGGUGAAAGCAGGGGAUCUUCGGACCUUGCGCGUUUGAAUGAGCCGAUGUCGGAUUAGCUAGUUGGCGGGGUAAAGGCCCACCAAGGCGACGAUCCGUAGCUGGUCUGAGAGGAUGAUCAGCCACACUGGAACUGAGACACGGUCCAGACUCCUACGGGAGGCAGCAGUGGGGAAUAUUGGACAAUGGGCGCAAGCCUGAUCCAGCCAUACCGCGUGGGUGAAGAAGGCCUUCGGGUUGUAAAACCCUUUUGUUGGGAAAGAAAAGCAGCAGGUUAAUACCCCGCUGUUCUGACGGUACCCAAAGAAUAAGCACCGGCUAACUUCGUG